GUAUACCAUCUGGAUUUUGUUUGUUUUCUCGCGAUUGUAUUUUUAGUGCUAAAAUUUUGUUUAACGUUGGAAAGUGACAACUGCCACUCUAGUCAUCUGUCAAAAGUAAACUUUUUCUUUUUUCCCACCAUUGUUUUUUCACAACCGAUAUCUCCUCCGUGUUUCCUUCUCUCCGGCGAUUUUUUGGCGAUUUUUUUUAGCGAUGUGUUGCUGUCCAAGCACGAAGUGCUGUUGCUAUUGUCUCCUCCUUAUCCUCGUCUAUUCUUAUAGGAUUCGUUUUUGGGGUCGGCAUCUUUGCGCAUGGAUUCAAGAAGAUCCAUGACAUGAUUCGCUUCUAGCAGGAUUUGGUUUCUUUCUGUUCUUCUUCGUAUGACAAGAGGCCAUUUUUUGCCCCUGCUCCGACUAUGUUCUAGUGAGAGAAAAUAACCUUUUCAAACCACCAGCCAUGGUUUACCAUUUUCCGAUGAGUUUUUUUUAAUCAAGGAAAUAGUGGAUACCGUUUUAAUGGAUUUCUAUAUGAUUUAUAAGAAAG
Molecule: long non-coding RNA, 532 nt
Filed under: Zostera marina
Lineage: Eukaryota; Viridiplantae; Streptophyta; Magnoliopsida; Alismatales; Zosteraceae
Description: long non-coding RNA (ZMAR_LNC000218)
Source: RNAcentral